This is a long non-coding RNA of Peromyscus californicus insignis, 4404 nucleotides long. RefSeq lists it as uncharacterized. The transcript has 3 exons. The record is from RefSeq and is a predicted model, not a curated record. Lineage: Eukaryota; Metazoa; Chordata; Mammalia; Rodentia; Cricetidae.
GCGAGAACAGGGUUCCAGCUACUGGUGAAGAGCAAAAGCUACAGAAGUCUGCUUUGAGCCCCAUGCCAGGACAGCCAGAACAUGUGUCAGGAUUUGGCUGGAAUGGAGAGCUUCAGGGUAAGACACGCUCAGCUCUCUUCCUUCUCUGUCAAAAGCUACCGUACCGAGCAAACAAUUAAGGAAUUAAGAAACUGGCUUAGAUCAGAUCACAACACGGAGCAGCACUUUCUUGGCUACCAGAAAGAAAGAGCUUCCCUUUCCAAACGCUGAAGAUCAAAGAAAGAGCAUGAGGAAACCUCAAGAACUUACACAGCUGGCAUUCUGGAACCAGAAGGCACAGCCAAGGCCACUGUGUGGGCUGAGUAUAACCGGAGCUCAAGUUCCCCACUCUGUGGGGCUGCUGUGUGCAGCCAGCCUGACUGUUCAGGGAAACGGUGCAUAGCAAGCUGAAGUGUGGGACCCUCUGUCCAUCCGUCACCAGGCAUGCUGAGUGCGUGGGACCCUCUGUCCAUCUGUCACCAGGCAUGCUGAGUGCAUGGGAUCCUCUGUCCAUCUGUCACCAGGCAUGCUGAGUGCAUGGAAUCCUCUGUCCAUCCAUCACCAUGCAUGCUGAGUGCAUGGGACCCUCUGUCCAUCCGUCACCAGGCAUGCUGAGUGUACGCCUUCCCCACUUCAUGAAGCAGGUAAAGAAGAGAACACAUGGUUCCUUCCCUAGAGGGUUUCUGGGGUUCUUUGGGUGUCGUGGCUGACACCCAAAGAAGUAACACACUAGAAUGGGAGCAGCUCCAAGAACGAGAAACCCAAAGAGGACUUCUCCAGGGCAUGCACCAGACUGCUUUCUGUUGCUGUGAUAAACACCAUGACCAAAAGUAAUGUGGGGAGGGAAGGCUGGUUCAUCUUACAUCCUUGAGGGAAGUCCAGGCAGGAACUCAAACAGGGCAGGAAACCCAGGCGGGCAGCAACUUGAAGCAGAAAUUAUUCAGGAACAAUAUUUACACAUUUGCUCCUUCUGGCUUGCUCAGCUUGGGUUCUUACACAGCCCAGGCUCACCUGCCUAGGCACAGUGCUGCCCACAGUGGAUUAGUUCCCUCCCAUGCCAAUCAUCAAUAAAGGCAGUGCCCCAGAGCCGUGCCCUCGGGGCAGUCUGAGGGAGGCAAUUCCUCAAUCGGGGUUCCCUUUUCCUAGGUGACUCCAGUUUGUGUCAGGUUGACAGUCAAGACUAUACCCUAGUUGCAUCAUUAUAGGGGUGAUUAAAAGAAGUGCUUACCCCUGGGAAGGGUGGCUAGGAGUGGGGACAGGACAGUAGGACCGCCAUGAGUUUCCAGCCAGGCUGGUCUACAUGGUGGGUUCCAGUCAAAUGAGAAUAAACAACAGUACCCGUGUCAGAGGACAGUGAGGAGGAAGUAUAAUCAUGCCAACUCCGCGCUGGAAACAGAACCAGACAACACAGUAAGCGUGUGCUCGCUGAUCGACACGGACGUCUUUAUUUAGUGAUCAAAGAGGACAGCCAUAAGCACGUGCCUUGCUUCUUCUCGAAUACAGUGUUCGCGGUGCACCUGGUACUCCAAAGGGCUUCACUAGAGGGUGGGGUGGGGCGUGAACUGACCCUAAAGAAUGCUAAUGAAAUGACUAAAAGAACCUAGUAAGUAAAUAGGAUGUGGACACAGGGUCCGCAGAAGGUCGGCUAAUUAUGGUGGGAUUACUCUGCUGCCGAUUUGUCAGGACUGUUGAGCAUCACACAGGAUUUCAGGAGCAGUAAUCACCCGCUUUCCCACACACUUCCUCAGCGUCAGCCCUUCAAUCAGUCAGAAUGCAAGCAGUGUGCUAAAAAUUGACUGAACAUCUCUCCGCAGAGUUGUCUUUGUGGGGCCAGUGCCACGCUGCUAUGCCAGAGGGAUUAAAUGUUCUCAGCGUUUCUGUUUGCAAAUCUCCCAGCUUCAUGAACACCCAAGGUCAUGUUUAGUGUGGAUCAGUCUAUUGUAAUGCAACUCCAGGGUGAUCACUGGAGAGCGAGCACCAGGAGCUAAUUAAGAAGCGGAUCACCAGGCUACCGCCCCCAAAGAAACCAGGACAUCUCCAAGUAAGGAAAAUGGAGUCAAAGUUCCGGAAGCCUGGAAGGGACUGCUUCAAAUGACUUUAAUCUGAAGGAGAAUGCCGGGUACAGAGCCCUGAUCUAGGGUAGACGCCGCAACAGCCUCAGGCUCAGAACCAACCGGAAAAGUCUAGAUAGUAAAUGAAGUCCAUGAUCUGACUAGUAAUACGGACAAAGAAUUUACUGUUAUUUUAGCACCUGUGACUUGGACAAACCUGUGACCUUGUGAACUGACCCGUGAAAUGACAUUGAUUUAAUACAGACACAGGAAUGUGAAAAUUAACUGUGAACAGAAAUUCCACCAUCCAUUUACUUGAGCAGAGUGCUUUAUGACUGACCAUUCACUUUUUGAAAAAGAAUAUUUAAAAUCUAUUGUUUGAUAGUUUCAUAUUCGUACACAAUGUAUCUUAACCAUAUCUACUUCCAACUCCCCCGCCCCAAAUACCUCCCAACACGUGCCCUCACCCCUUCGUGUCCACUUUUUAUUUUUUAUAACCCACUGAGUCCAAUUAGUGCCGCCCACGUGCACAUGGGCGUGAGGCCACCCACUGAACCAUGAACAACCUAUCAGUGGCUGUACUUCUGAAGAAAAACUGCUCCCCUGUCCCCAGCAGCUGUCAACUGCCAAGCGCUUCUCAGUCGAGGGUGAGCCUCAUGAACCCACCCCACCUGUGCUGGAGGGAGCAAGCGUUGACUGGUUUGAGCUGCUGCAGGGCUUGUGUGCAGGGACAGCUGCUGUGUGCAGGGAUAGGGCUAUAGCUGCUGUGAGGUCCUGCCAUGCCAGGUCCAGAAGACAGCAGUCCCAGCACUCCUCCUCUGGCUCCUACAUUCUUUCUGUCCUUAUUCCAGAUGUUUCCUGAGUCUCGGAGUGGGUGGUGACUUGAAUGUCCUGAGCAUCUGGCAGUCAAUUAGUCUCGGCACUUUGACCAGUUAGAAGGCUCUGUAUUUAUUAACUGCUGCCAUUUCGAAAAGAAGCCUCUCUGACCAAAGUUGACAACACUCAUCUACAGAUUUAAACAUAGAUAUUUAGAAGGCAGUUUGACUUGAUUUUGCAGGUUCCUCCCCAGGACUUACUACUUCCACAGCCUUGACUUUUGACUAGGUUUACAGUACCAGAUAGGAAUUUCCUCCUAUGGAGUAGGACUCAAGUCUAAGCAGAAAGUGGUUGGUUACCUCAUACAUAUCCACCAACAUGUAAGGAAACAUUUGUUUACUUAGAUUAGUGAGCUUCUUGUAAUCAUUAGCAUUGCCGUUUCUCCUGGGAAUCCCAUUUCUCACUUACCUAGAGCAAAGUUGAUAUGAGCCUGGGAGAGGAACGUGCAACGCACGGCUACUUCAUACCAACAUCUUUUAAAAAACCAAAACCACAAAAUCACCACCAACGAGACAAAAUCCAAUUAAAGCAAGCCAUAUCUGAUGGCACAGGGCUGCAAUCCCAGCUUCUUGGGAGUCUGAGGCAGGGGAUCAACAUUUUAGGGCCUGCCUGGACAAUGUCAUCUCAAAAUAAAAAGUGAACCAAGGCUGAAGGUAUCUUAGUGGACCCACUGCGAUGUCUGAGCUCCAAACUCUAAGAUGAUGUGUGACAGGCCACCAAUUGUUUCUACUUUGACAGUGAACACAUUAGAUAACAGUCUAGAGCCCUAGUCCAAGCUGACAUGCCCUCAAAAGCUGCAAAAGUGAACUCAUAGGUGCAAGCUUGGAGCUUGUUUAUAAAUGAUGUGUGAGGAAAUCUGGAACUCCUGCUAAAUAUGAUCGAGGGUUUCCAUAUAAAUGAGAAUUUGCCUGUUUAAUACUCAAAGCUUUGUUUAAAAUUUUAUGCAUUUUUUAAGAUGAACAUUCUUAACCAAAUAUUAAAGCCUUUCUUCAUUAUAUAGCUGAUGUAAUAUAAAUAUAAUAUUAUCUGUAUGUAGACAAUAAAUGCCUUCACAUAAAUGUCCUUAUAAACUAACGCACACAUACGUACACAUGUUCCUUCCAACUGAAAUAGAAUAUAUUAAACUUUAUGUCACAUCCUCCUGACACAUGGGAAAACUCCUGACUUUGAGUACUAACCAUUAGUCAACUCUAUGGUAUUGGCCUUGUGUUUGACCAUCAGAAAACUACCGCGUGCUACAGACUUUAUGGCAAGACCUAAUUUUAGGUAUUUGUCCUUUUUCUUUGUAUUUUUCUACCUUUCCUGUUUUUUUCAGCUCAAUACUAUGGCAGGUGGUUGUAAAAUCACUGUUUCCAUAAUAAACGUUCCCAACGUACUGACUGACAGGGAACUCUAAACCAUGCCUUUCCUUGCAUACAUUAAAAAGAAAUAAAAUAUU